AAGUCGUAACAAGGUUUCCGUAGGUGAACCUGCGGAAGGAUCAUUAACAACAUAUCCUAACUUAAAAACCCUGUGAACUUUCAACCCCAAACUGCUUGAUCUCAGCAAUCUCUGGUAAAUCAUAGUGAACAGCUUUGAUUCGGAGACCUCUGAAUAACCUUGGGCGGUCGCGGUUGGUAAGGCAAGUGACCCGGUACCCUCAAGACCAGUGUUCAAUGAUCUGUCAGUGUUCAUUGACUGGAAUCAAACGUUCUGUCAGUGUGCGUUUGAUUUGCAAGGGUGGCGCAGUAAACGAUCGCUGGAGGCCGACACGGCCGGCGACUGGGUCAGCGAGCUUUGCUCCCACUGUUACUACUUACAAGAUUUCCCAAUUAGUGAAAGCUAUUGGGCUAUAACUAAACGACUGUUAACAAUGGAUAUCUCGAUUCUC
This 430-nucleotide unclassified non-coding RNA is filed under the name fungal sp. RNAcentral describes it as "partial internal transcribed spacer region". The stretch from base 1 to 46 matches the Rfam family "Eukaryotic small subunit ribosomal RNA", at positions 1786 to 1831 of the family's 1831-position model. Lineage: Eukaryota; Fungi. The record is from RNAcentral.